UACGUAGGUGGCAAGCGAUACUCGGAAUCACUAGGCGUAAAGCGCAGGUAGGCGGUUUGGUAAGUCUUUUGUGAAAGCUCCCGGCUUAACUGGGAGAGGUCAAAGGAAACUACCGGACUAGAGUUUGGUAGGGGAUACUGGAAUUCCUGGUGUAGCGGUGAAAUGCGUAGAUAUCAGGAGGAAUACCUAUGGCGAAGGCAGCACUCUGGGACGGUACUGACGCUGAGACGCGAAAGCGUGGGGAGCAAACAGG
Molecule: ribosomal RNA, 253 nt
Filed under: uncultured bacterium
Lineage: Bacteria
Description: partial 16S ribosomal RNA
Rfam family: Bacterial small subunit ribosomal RNA
Source: RNAcentral